This is a long non-coding RNA of Electrophorus electricus (electric eel), 255 nucleotides long. RefSeq lists it as uncharacterized. Lineage: Eukaryota; Metazoa; Chordata; Actinopteri; Gymnotiformes; Gymnotidae. The record is from RefSeq and is a predicted model, not a curated record.
AAUGCACUUAGUGGAGAGCUCACUGAACUUAUCCCACAAGCCCAGAUCCAGUUGGACCCUGUGAUCUGCACUCGAGUUCUAUGCCACAGAAGGAGUAAGAGAAACCAGAAGGCCUGAGGACCAAUGAAACUGAGUGAUAGGACUACAUGUUGGAACGCUUCAGAUGAAACAUGCCAACCUCAAAACACUUCUGUAGGCGACAGUACUGGCAACGGUUCCUGGUCACCUUGUUGAUCUGGCAGUUCUUAUCCCGAU